This 552-nucleotide ribosomal RNA is filed under the name uncultured bacterium. RNAcentral's name for it is "partial 16S ribosomal RNA". It matches the Rfam family "Bacterial small subunit ribosomal RNA", at positions 356 to 900 of the family's 1533-position model. The record is from RNAcentral.
UAGGAAUCUUCCACAAUGGACGCAAGUCUGAUGGAGCAACGCCGCGUGAGUGAAGAAGGUUUUCGGACCGUAAAGCUCUGUUGUUGGUGAAGAAGGAUAGAGGUAGUAACUGGCCUUUAUUUGACGAUAAUCAACCAGAAAGUCACGGCUAACUACGUGCCAGCAGCCGCGGUAAUCGUAGGUGGCAAGCGUUGUCCGGAUUUAUUGGGCGUAAAGCGAGCGCAGGCGGAAGAAUAAGUCUGAUGUGAAAGCCCUCGGCUUAACCGAGGAAUUGCAUCGGAAACUGUUUUCUUGAGUGCAGAAGAGGAGAGUAGAACUCCAUGUGUAGCGGUGGAAUGCGUAGAUAUAUGGAAGAAUACCAGUGGCGAAGGCGGCUCUCUGGUCUGCAACUGACGCUGAGGCUCGAAAGCAUGGGUAGCGAACAGGAUUAGAUACCCUGGUAGUCCAUGCCGUAAACGAUGAGUGCUAAGUGUUGGGAGGCUUCCGCCUCUCAGUGCUGCAGCUAACGCAUUAAGCACUCCGCCUGGGGGAGUACGACCGCAAGGUUGAAAC